This 1406-nucleotide ribosomal RNA is filed under the name metagenome. Its description in RNAcentral is "bacterial SSU rRNA". It matches the Rfam family "Bacterial small subunit ribosomal RNA". The record is from RNAcentral.
GCUUGCACCUGCUGACGUGUAGCGAAAGGGUGAGUAACACGUGAGAAACCUGCCUUAAAGUCGGUGAUAGCCCAUGGAAACGUGGAUUAAUACCGGAUGUGGUUAUUUUAGCGCAUGCUUUAAUAACUAAAAUUUUUUGCUUUAAGAUGGUCUCGCGUACCAUCAGCUAGUUGGUAAGGUAACGGCUUACCAAGGCUACGACGGUUAGCUGGUCUGAGAGGACGAUCAACCACACUGGGACUGAGACACUGCCCAGACUCCUACGGGAGGCUGCAGUCGAGAAUCUUCCGCAAUGCGCGAAAGCGUGACGGAGCGAUGCCGCGUGCCGGAUGAAGGCCUUCGGGUCGUAAACGGCUGUCACUCGGGACGAAAAAAAUGACGGUACCGAGAGAGGAAGCCACGGCUAACUACGUGCCAGCAGCCGCGGUAAUACGUAGGUGGCAAGCGUUAUUCGGAUUCAUUGGGCGUAAAGGGUUCGUAGGCUGUUGUCUAAGUCUGAAGUGAAAUCUAGUGGCUCAACCACUAAACUGCUUUGGAUACUGGAUGACUAGAGUACUGGAGAGGCAAGCAGAAUUCCUGGUGUAGCGGUGGAAUGCGUAGAUAUCAGGAGGAAUACCAAUUGCGAAGGCAGCUUGCUGGACAGUAACUGACGCUGAGGAACGAAAGCUAGGGGAGCGAACAGGAUUAGAUACCCUGGUAGUCCUAGCUGUAAACGUUGUACACUAGAUGUAGGUGGGUUGGUCCCAUCUGUGUCCAAGCUAACGUGAUAAGUGUACCGCCUGGGGAGUACGGCCGCAAGGCUAAAACUCAAAGGAAUUGACGGGGGCCCGCACAAGCGGUGGAGCAUGUGGCUUAAUUCGAGGCCACGCGAAGGACCUUACCUGGAUUUGACAUAUACAUGACCGUCAUAGAAAUAUGAUUUUCCUUCGGGACAUGUAUACAGAUGCUGCAUGGCUGUCGUCAGCUCGUGCCGUGAGGUGUUCGGUUAAGUCCGGCAACGAGCGCAACCCACGCUGUUAUUUGCCAGCGCGUAAUGGCGGGAACUAUAACAGGACUGCCCGUGCUAAGCGGGAGGAAGGCGUGGACGACGUCAAGUCCGUAUGGCUCUUACAUCCAGGGCUGCACACGUGCUACAAUGGUCGGUACAAUGGGAUGCCACUCAGCGAUGAGGAGCGAAUCUCCAAAACCGGCCCCAGUUCGGAUCGUAGUCUGCAACUCGACUACGUGAAGUCGGAAUCGCUAGUAAAGGCGUAUCAGCAACGACGCCUUGAAUACGUUCCCGGGCCUUGUACACACCGCCCGUCACAUCAUGGAAGCCCAUUGCACCCGAAGUCGAUGACCCAACCGCUUGCGGAGGGAGUCGCCGAAGGUGUGGUUGGUAACUGGGAUGAAGUCGAAACAAGGUA